UCCCGUGAUGAUUAGAAGGAAUCAUUUGUGGUUGUGCCUUAUUCUGACACACGCGCUACCUUCGUUCCAACAGCAGGUUCGCAUAGAUAUAUGCGCUUUCGGCGCCUCCGCUUUGACUGGCUUCCUGAGCUGCACCCUCGAUUCUGCGCCUGAUUCGAUCAGACAGAAAUGGGAGAAGACGAAGGAGCUUUUCAAAGGACGCACCCCGGAAGAAGCUAUACUCAAGCUGUGCGCCAACGCUCCAACCACUGGAGUGGCUCUCGCAAAUAAACGGCUUCAUCAACCAGCAAAGUAAGGGUGAUAAGCCGAAGCUGAAGAGGCUCCUCCUGGCCUGCAAGGAGAGCACCGGGUGAUUGUCGGAGAACCCCGAGCCCCCACCCCCAUACUUUAUACCCGCGUGCGAGAUACUCCGCUGAGGCGAAUGAUCUGAUGAAUGAG
Galendromus occidentalis (western predatory mite) is the source of this 438-nucleotide long non-coding RNA. RefSeq lists it as uncharacterized. The transcript has 4 exons. NCBI's taxonomy places the organism in Eukaryota, Metazoa, Arthropoda, Arachnida, Mesostigmata, Phytoseiidae. The record is from RefSeq and is a predicted model, not a curated record.